GACGAACGCUGACGGCGUGCUUAACACAUGCAAGUCGAACGGAAAGGCCCUGCUUGCAGGGUACUCGAGUGGCGAACGGGUGAGUAACACGUGGGUGAUCUGCCCUGCACUUCGGGAUAAGCCUGGGAAACUGGGUCUAAUACCGGAUAGGAGCCAUUUUUAGUGUGAUGGUUGGAAAGUUUUUUCGGUGUAGGAUGAGCUCGCGGCCUAUCAGCUUGUUGGUGGGGUAAUGGCCUACCAAGGCGGCGACGGGUAGCCGGCCUGAGAGGGUGGACGGCCACAUUGGGACUGAGAUACGGCCCAGACUCCUACGGGAGGCAGCAGUGGGGAAUAUUGCACAAGGGGCGCAAGCCUGAUGCAGCGACGCCGCGUGGGGGAUGACGGCCUUCGGGUUGUAAACUCCUUUCGCUAGGGACGAAGCUUUUUGUGACGGUACCUAGAUAAGAAGCACCGGCUAACUACGUGCCAGCAGCAGCCGCAG
This 481-nucleotide ribosomal RNA is filed under the name uncultured bacterium. Its description in RNAcentral is "partial 16S ribosomal RNA". It matches the Rfam family "Bacterial small subunit ribosomal RNA", at positions 28 to 523 of the family's 1533-position model. The record is from RNAcentral.